Long non-coding RNA from Strigops habroptila (Kakapo), 95 nucleotides. RefSeq lists it as uncharacterized. NCBI's taxonomy places the organism in Eukaryota, Metazoa, Chordata, Aves, Psittaciformes, Psittacidae. The record is from RefSeq and is a predicted model, not a curated record. The transcript is spliced from 4 exons.
UUAGGUUUAGGUUUAGGGAUUAGAGUUAGGGUAAAGCAUUAGGGUUAGGGUUAAGGUUAGGGUUAGUGUUAUGGUUACGGUUAGGGUUAGGGUUA